AAUAAACAUAAUUUUCGCCCGCUCAUCGAGUCCUGCGGCCUGAAAAACCACCGUUGUUAAUCAACUACAAAAAC
Molecule: transfer RNA, 74 nt
Filed under: Simalia boeleni (Boelen's python)
Lineage: Eukaryota; Metazoa; Chordata; Lepidosauria; Squamata; Pythonidae
Description: tRNA-Gln
Source: RNAcentral